Molecule: ribosomal RNA, 945 nt
Filed under: Triticum aestivum (bread wheat)
Lineage: Eukaryota; Viridiplantae; Streptophyta; Magnoliopsida; Poales; Poaceae
Description: partial small subunit ribosomal RNA
Source: RNAcentral
AUGGCCCUCAAGAAAGCAAGAAAAGCGGUAGCACCCAAGAACCCAACGUCCGCCGCCGACGCUGGAGGCAGCGGCUCCACGGGCGCGGCGGAGAUGCCCGGUCCGCUCGGGCGCGGCGGCGCGCACAGCCUCAGCCCGCCGCGGCUGCCCCCCGGCGUCUACUUCAGCCCGACGCGGGAGGAGAGCGUGGCGCUCCUCGACCGCUGGAUCGCCGGCGGCAAGGAGGUGCCCGCCGACGCGCGGGGGUUCGUCUGCCACGCCGACAUCUACGGCGAGAGCCCCGACGCGCUGCGGCGGCGGCACCCGCCGGCGAGCGCCCGCGCGGGCCAGCACACCUGGUGGUUCCUCUGCGAGACCAGGUUCCAGUGCCCCGGCUCGGCGGCCAAGCGCGCCGGCCGCAAAGUCGACACCGGCGGGCACUGGCGGGCGGAGCGGAGCGAGGCCGAGGGGGGCGGGGUCGAGAGCCACUUCGUCUUCUUCCUCGGCCCGUCCAGGAAGGAGAAGACGCCGUGGCUGGUGCAGGAAUUCACCAGCGCCAACGACGACGGCGCCGGCAAGAAGGGCGUGCCCGCGCUCUACAUGCUCUACGUCUCCCCGCGCGCCACCGACGACGAGCUGAGGGGGAUCUACGGGGAGGACGGCGUCACGGUGGGGCCCGACGGGAACAAGAAGCAUGUCCGGGCCGCCGUCCCAGCAGGCUGUUUCGACGCCGUCGUGGCGCUGCUGCCGCCGGGGAGCGUCCGUGGUCUCGGUCAAGAGCGCGUUGAGGUGUCGCAGGCGCCGCCUCCGCCGCAGCCGGCGUGUCUUCUUCAUCACGACGGCCAGCAGGGGCAGAACUCCACGGGGGCCGCAUCGCCGGCGGGCGUUCUUGGUCAGUACCAGCAGCGGCGGCGGCAUGGGCGCUGCUUCAUGGGGGCCGCAGUGCCGGCGGCCGUUCUUGGUUAG